GCAACAGAGAUAGCAAAUCAUUUAUUUAUUUAUUUAUUUAUUUAUUUAUUUAUUUAUUUAUUUUAGGAAAGUCAAGUACAACAUUGGACUUCUUACAGAAAUCAAGAAUGCUAUCAACAAUUGGCUGGCACUGAAGAUAAAACUUGCUCAAAUUAAUGCUACCUAAUGUUGCAAUUAGUUUAUCAUUACUUUUUGAUACAUUUUAACCAAAUUGUUUUUUUUCUUUUUCUUUUUUUGUUGUAUUGAUGCAUUAUACAUAGUAGAAUUCAGUGCUGAAUAUUUAUACACACAUGCAAUAUAGCCAAGGGAUUCGGUCAGUUUCACUUUCCAGUACCUUCCUUUUCCCUCUCCUCUUCCCCUCUCUGAUCCUCUUCCUCUAAUCUUCUGGUCUCCCUUCUGUGUCCAUAUCCCUCCAUCUUAUAUUCCUAAUAUUUUUUUUCUGAGAAUUUCACUUCAAUUUCAUUUAAAUGCCCUUUUUUUAAAAAAUGAUUUCUCCCUCUUCUAGUUCUCUGUCCAAAACUUACAAAUAUCUUUUUCUUAGCUUUGUCACUUUAUAACAAAAUAACAACAAAAUAUAACAACAAAAAUAACAUCAUACACUAAACUGAAGUAAGGACCACAGAUAAAUAUUUUUCAUUCAACAUACAUACUUAAAAAGAAUAUUGAAGUUCCAUACAGAAUCAAUGAGCUCUAAAAUUAAAAAAUAACAUCCUAGGACACAAAAUGCUGGUUUGUAAGAGACAACAGGUGAGUCAGCAAGCUUUGUUACUCUGGGCAUAAUGUAAUCCCUAGGUGGAUCAGUGUGCUUAUCACAAAACCAGAAGACACCACCAGGAGAUUUUAACUCAGAGUGUCCCUGGUGGGUCUGUUUAUCCCCCCUGGGAACCAUGAAGUCUAACAUUCAUGUGGCCCAUCAGACUUUGUUCUAGCUGAAAACGUACAUCCCUGUUGAAUCUACACAACAGUCUUACGAAGUGGGAACUAUUAGCAUAAGCACCAUUGCACAGGAGAGGAGGCUGAGAUCAGAGAGAAUUGUUAUGCUCAUGAAUGAAGCACAUGUCCCUCUUGGAGAUGUCCACCUCCGAGCCCAUGCUCUCAACCACUGUGUGGUUCUGACUCUGAGCCUGGUGCCUCCACCUGUACAUGUAUCUUUGCGGGGAGAGAGGGUGUGGCAUUAAUGAAUUUCUGCAGAAGUGAGCUGAAACUGUUCCCACAUUCUAGGAGAGCGUUGUCUGAAACACUGAAACUUCCACCUUCCUUAGGCCUCAGCAGACCUCCGGCCUUCCCUGAUCUGCAUUUCAGGAGCUGGACAGAGGUUCCAAUGGAAAUGGAAAUAUCCAGUUCUCUAAGAACUAUUUUCAUGUCUGUUAGUUUUAUGCUACAAGCUAGUAAAGGAUAUGGGAAACUUCUCCUCCCACCAAAAGAAUUUAAAAGUAUAGAUGAACACAUAUUAACCAUAUUUUCUUUAAAGGUAGACUGCAUCUUGGCAUGAUUUGGAAAAUUUAGAAGUACCAGAAAUCUUAGAAAUUCUCUCCUUUAUUCCCUGAUUUUGAAGUUUGGAGUUAGAAAUGGAUAGUGAACGGGUUAGCCUCACACAGCUAGUUGGUCUGUGGCCCUGAUACACACAGUCCUAUUGCUGCAUCAAAUUAUAUUUGAAAUGGAGAUGCUUUUGUGUAGGAAAUGAUGUCUGCUUCAUCUAGUAAAAACUUGCAUCUCACACAUGCUAUGCAGUAGCUGUUUACACAAAUGUGAGCUGCACUUUCUGUACUCUGCUUUAUACCAUGUAUGAGAAGAAAGGUGAUCAAGUGUCCCUAAGGGAAUUCCAGGUCAUUCUUAGGUAGAUUUUCACCAAAUGAUUUGGGAGCAAUGGAGUCGGCGACAAGCGAGGACUGUCACAGUUACUUUGCGCUGUGUAACUGGGGCUCAGUGACCCAGGCAGAUAUGGUCACUGUGCUCUGGGUCUGUCUUAGGGCAGGACCCCAUCUCCUACCCCAAGCUCCACCAGGCAGUGGACAUUCACAGAAUCUGGCACACUUUAAAAUUAUUUUUGUUUUUAUUUCACUCUGCACAUCUCUGCUGGAGUAAGGUCCUAGUGGUGA
RNAcentral lists this long non-coding RNA (2099 nucleotides) under Marmota monax (woodchuck). The record is from RNAcentral. Lineage: Eukaryota; Metazoa; Chordata; Mammalia; Rodentia; Sciuridae.